GACGAACGCUGGCGGCGUGCCUAAUACAUGCAAGUUGAGCGCUGAAGGUUGGUACUUGUACCAACUGGAUGAGCAGCGAACGGGUGAGUAACGCGUGGGGAAUCUGCCUUUGAGCGGGGGACAACAUUUGGAAACGAAUGCUAAUACCGCAUAAAAACUUUAAACACAAGUUUUAAGUUUGAAAGAUGCAAUUGCAUCACUCAAAGAUGAUCCCGCGUUGUAUUAGCUAGAUGGUGAGGUAAAGGCUCACCAAGGCGAUGAUACAUAGCCGACCUGAGAGGGUGAUCGGCCACAUUGGGACUGAGACACGGCCCAAACUCCUACGGGAGGCAGCAGUAGGGAAUCUUCGGCAAUGGACGAAAGUCUGACCGAGCAACGCCGCGUGAGUGAAGAAGGUUUUCGGAUCGUAAAACUCUGUUGGUAGAGAAGAACGUUGGUGAGAGUGGAAAGCUCAUCAAGUGACGGUAACUACCCAGAAAGGGACGGCUAACUACGUG
Molecule: ribosomal RNA, 497 nt
Filed under: uncultured bacterium
Lineage: Bacteria
Description: partial 16S ribosomal RNA
Rfam family: Bacterial small subunit ribosomal RNA
Source: RNAcentral